Molecule: ribosomal RNA, 692 nt
Filed under: uncultured archaeon
Lineage: Archaea
Description: bacterial SSU rRNA
Rfam family: Archaeal small subunit ribosomal RNA
Source: RNAcentral
CCCGCCAAUUCCUUUAAGUUUCGCCCAAGGAUGGGGCCGCGGCCGAUCAGGUUGUUGGUGAGGUAAUGGCUCACCAAGCCUUUUACCGGUGCGGGCCGUGGGAGCGGGAGCCCGGAGAUGGGCACUGAGACAAGGGCCCAGGCCCUACGGGGCGCAGCAGUCGCGAAAACUUUGCAAUACACGAAAGUGUGACAGGGCUAUCCCGAGUGCCAUCCGCUGAGGAAGGCUUUUACCCAGUCUAGAACGCUGGGGGAAUAAGGAGAGGGCAAGUCUGGUGUCAGCCGCCGCGGUAAUACCAGCUCUCCGAGUGGUGUGGAUGUUUAUUGGGCCUAAAGCAUCCGUAGCUGGCUAGGUAAGUCCUUUGUUAAAUCCACCGAAUUAAUCGUUGGAUCGCGGGGGAUACUGCUUGGCUAGGGGACGAGAGAGGCAGACGGUAUUCUCGGGGUAGGGGUGAAAUCCUAUAAUCCCGGGAAGACCACCAGUGGCGAAGGCUGUCUGCUAGAACGCGCCCGACGGUGAGGGAUGAAAGCUGGGGGAGCGAACCGGAUUAGAUACCCGGGUAGUCCCAGCUGUAAACGAUGCAGACUAGGUGUUUGGACGGCCACGUGCCGUUCUAGUGCCGCAGGGAAGCUGUUAAGUCUGCCGCCUGGGGAGUACGAUCGCAAGAUUGAAACUUAAAGGAAAUUGGCGGG